Molecule: ribosomal RNA, 500 nt
Filed under: uncultured bacterium
Lineage: Bacteria
Description: bacterial SSU rRNA
Rfam family: Bacterial small subunit ribosomal RNA
Source: RNAcentral
GAUUCUGGCUCAGGAUGAACGCUGGCGGCGUGCUUAACACAUGCAAGUCGAACGGAGUUUUAACGGAAGUUUCGGAUGGAAAUUAGAAACUUAGUGGCGGACGGGUGAGUAACGCGUGGGUAACCUGCCUCAUACAGGGGGAUAACAGUUAGAAAUGACUGCUAACACCGCAUAACAUAGCGAAACCGCAUGAUUUUGCUAUCAAAUAUUUAUAGGUAUGAGAUGGGCCCGCGUCUGAUUAGCUAGUUGGUGGGGUAAAAGCCUACCAAGGCGACGAUCAGUAGCCGGCUUGAGAGAGUGACCGGCCACAUUGGGACUGAGACACGGCCCAAACUCCUACGGGAGGCAGCAGUGGGGAAUAUUGGACAAUGGGGGAAACCCUGAUCCAGCGAACCGCCGCGUGAGUGAAGAAGUAUUUCGGUAUGUAAAGCUCUAUCAGCAGGGAAGAUAAUGACAGUACCUGACUAAGAAGCCCCGGCUAACUACGUGCCAGCCGCAGC